Caretta caretta (loggerhead turtle) is the source of this 4140-nucleotide non-coding RNA. The record is from RefSeq and is a predicted model, not a curated record. NCBI's taxonomy places the organism in Eukaryota, Metazoa, Chordata, Testudines, Cheloniidae.
UAGAUAUUUUGUUCCUGGUUUAGCACAGGUCACCUACUCUACAGAAUCAGAGUAUAAAGAAACAGGCUGAUCUGCUCAGGCUCAGUUCCGGUUCUGAAUCUGAGAUGGUUGUGAAUCUGUAACUACGGGAGAAACCCACUUGUGGGUUUUGAAGGACUGACACAUUCCAGAGCCAGAGGCUGGAUUUGGGAUGAUCUCUGGGGCUCCAACAGUUCAAGUUCAUUAUUUCCCGCGAUGGAAUCUGGCCAGCAGGAAGCAGCAUUGGAAGAAGCAGAACAAUCCAGGAGGGGCCAUCAGAGCAGGCCGGGUUACGUAUCCUAGAAAGCUGGGAAACGUGCAAUGAUAUGAAACCCUUACUGGACCUAGUGAAGCGCACCCACCAUCCAUGAUUGCUGUCUGCUCUGCACCUCCUCUCAUCAUGGUGGAAGAAAUGUAAUGGAUGAAAUCGUCACCUCUCGAAAGGGCACAAGAAGUUGCUGUACUGAAUAAAGCAAUAAAAAAGAGGGAGUUACCUGUUCAGAGAGAUGAGUUGUCCAGCUGAUUCUCUUUGUGCAGAAUUGAUCAUUGUUGCUUAUUUAUCAAAUGUCAAGAAGAAAUCAGUGGAAUUGAUCAUUUCUAUUAAGAGGUAAGGAACGUACCUCCUCUCAGCACAGGGGCAGGAAUAACUGGAUCUUUUUCUAUUUUCAGGUGAAAUGAAGGUCUGACCAUUAAGGGGGCGGGGGAAGAUAAGAGGCUGCUGAAUUUAAUAAUAGUCAGACAGGUAACGAUAUCUGGCCAGGGGGAAGAAAAGCAUCUUUUCUUCUAGUUGAGAAAGAGGAAAGCAGCCAAUUAUAUGCUUCAAGUUGUAACCAGUGUAGCUGGCUGUACCUCGAAGAAUCAAAGCUUUUUGGUGAAAUAUCAUUGACAAGUAGGUGAGCACGAAAAAGUCUGUAGAAGCCUCAUGAUCUGGAUGGUAAGGAACCAUUUCUAUUGAUGACUCUUCAUAACUAGUAAUGAGUAAUAAUAAUAAAUAAUCGUCAGGUUUUGCUAAUUGGAGAUUUGAACAGACCAGGUGGCCAUUCCUACCAGGGAGAAGUGAGGGUAAGUGGCUGUCCCGGGCAAGGAGGUAAGCAAUACCAGUCUCCAAACAUCCAUGUGUAUAUCAAGUGGUGUGGAGUUUUCUUUCAGGGAGAAGAACUGUGGUGGACCUUACAUGUCACGGGGAGAGUGUGAAAAGCAGAGUCAAGACAAAGCAACAUGGACUUGCCAGCUGCUCAAUCCAUGGAGGACUCCAAUGAGAAGAUGCUGUUAUUUCAAGGAACAACAAACAGAAAACAAACAGUCACUUCAAAUAGUUCAGCUAGUUGCAAAUCUGAACAUGAAGGAAGUCAGCAGAACACAGACAUGGAGAUGAGAGAAAUGCAGCUGAUUUGAACUUUGAGGGUGUGAAAACUUCAGGAAGUUGCGAGAAGAUCUGAGAUAUCUACAGGAAGGAAACCAGUGAAACUCAUCACUGCUGCCAAGAGGUAAGGAACUCACCUCAUAAUGGAGAAAUUAAUGGAUCUGGUUUCCCUUCAGGUGAAAGAAAUGCAGCUGAUCUGAUCUCCGAGGGGUUGAAGACUGUAAGCAGUCAUGUUACUGAAGAAUACAGGAACACAUGUUCCCAGACCUGCAGAGAGGGGAAAAAGUUGCCUUCCUUGACUAGAAUGGGAAGACAAUCCCUUAACACCGUCAAGUUACAAACCCACAAUGCAGGAGACCGUCACUGACAGAGGAGAAGAGUUACAGACACUCAGGAUUUGAGCACAAAGGAAUAGGAAUGGAGCUGAACAGAUCCAACACCUGAAAGGACAAUUAGAUCUCAUAAGAUAUGAGACCAUGAAAAAGACCCUUCAUUCAAUAAAGCAACAGAAUUGGCUCUGAGGAGAGGUGGAAGAAAUGUAAUGGAUGAAAUCGUCACCUCUCGAAAGGGCACAAGAAGUUGCUGUACUGAAUAAAGCAAUAAAAAAGAGGGAGUUACCUGUUCAGAGGUAAGGAAAGUCGGUAAUUCUAACCGAUGAUCAUGACAUCUGCUCCUUUCCCCUUCCCGGCUAAUGGUUGGUUGUUCCGACAAGGAUGUAUCCCAGAAAAAUUGCAACUAACCAGAGUGUGAAAAUGAGCAUUUAAGCUGCUCUUACAUUUGCAGAGAUGAGUUGUCCAGCUGAUUCUCUUUGUGCAGAAUUGAUCAUUGUUGCUUAUUUAUCAAAUGUCAAGAAGAAAUCAGUGGAAUUGAUCAUUUCUAUCAAGAGGUAAGGAAUACACCUCCUCUCAGCACAGGGGCAGGAAUAACUGGCUCUAUUUCUAUUUUCAGGUGAAAUGAAGGUCUGACCAUUAAGGGGGGCGGGGGAAGAUAAGAGGCUGCUGAAUUUAAUAAUAGUCAGACAGGUAACGAUAUCUGGCCAGGGGGAAGAAAAGCAUCUUUUCUUCUAGUUGAGAAAGAGGAAAGCAGCCAAUUAUAUGCUUCAAGUUGUAACCAGUGUAGCUGGCUGUACCUCGAAGAAUCAAAGCUUUUUGGUGAAACAUCAUUGACAAGUAGGUGAGCACGGAAAAGUCUGUAGAAGCCUAAUGAUCUGGAUGGUAAGGAACCAUUUCUAUUGAUGACUCUUCAUAACUAGUAAUGAGUAAUAAUAAUAAAUAAUUGUCAGGUUUUGCUAAUUGGAGAUGGGAACAGACCAGAUGGCCAUUCCUACUAGGGAGAAGUGAGGGUAAGUGGCUGUCCCGGGCAAGGAGGUAAGCAAUACCAGUCUCCAAACAUCCAUGUGUAUAUCAAGUGGUGUGGAGUUUUCUUUCAGGGAGAAGAACUGUGGUGGACCUUACUUGUCAUGGGGAGAGUGUGAAAAACAGAGUCAAGACAAAGGAACAUGGACUUGCCAGCUGCUCAAUCCAUGGAGGACUCCAAUGAGAAGACGCUGUUAUUUCGAGGAACAACAAACAGAAAACAAACAGUCACUUCAAAUAGUUCAGCUAGUUGCAAAUCUGAACAUGAAGGAAGUCAGCAAAACACAGACAUGGAGAUGAGAGAAAUGCAGCUGAUUUGAACUUUGAAAACUUCAGGAAGUUGCGAGAAGAUCUGAGAUAUCUGCAGGAAGGAAACCAGUGAAACUCAUCACUGUUGCCAAGAGGUAAGGACCUCACCUCAUAAUGUAGAAAUUAAUGGAUCUGGUUUCCCUUCAGGUGAAAGAAAUGCAGCUGAUCUGAUCUCCCAGGGGUUGAGGACUAUAAGCAGUCAUGAUACUGAAGAAUACAGGAACACAUGUUCCCAGACCGGCCUAGAGCGAAAAAAGUUGCCUUCCUUGACUAGAAUGGGAAGACAAUCCCUUAUCACCAUCAAGUUACAAACCCACAAUGCAGGAGACCGUCACUGACAGAGGAGAAGAGUUACAGACACUCAGGAUUUGAGCACAAAGGAAUAGGAAUGGAGCUGAACAGAUCCAACACCUGAAAGGACAGUGGAUCUCAUAAGAUAUGAAACCAUGAAAAAGACCCUUCAUUCAAUAAAGCAACAGAAUUGGCUCUGAAGAGAGGUAAGAAGCAUUUGGUAAGUCUACCAAAUGGGCAUACAAUCAACUCUUCAAAAUUACUAACUUAUGUUGUGUCAAAGAGUUUGUUACAGCUGAUCACACAUCUCAGGAUCUAAGAAGAGCUCAGGGGCAUGGCAGACCUCAGGGGAUUCAUCUUUAUCAGGAGGUGAUGCACCUGCUUGUCAGUGGCUUUGGUUAGAUUUUCAGAUGAAGGAAACACAGCCAGUGUGGUCAGUAUUCAAGAAAUAAUGUUCAAGAGGUGCCUGGGGUCACCUCUUGGGCUAAGGGGAGUAGCUGGUCCUAUCUACCGGGAUGGAAGCAAAGAAGAAAGAACAGGCCACUGGUUAGUACUGGGACACAGACAAUCCCCUGGAGGGGCCUGGGACAGGGUGUGUAACCACAGUGCCCAGUGGGUCCUUUCCCCACUGUGGUCCUGGCUCGCAUGCACAGGGUGAAACUGAUCGCCAUGUUUGGGGUCAGGAAGGAAUUUUCCUCCAGGGCAGAUUGGCCAGAGACCCUGGAGGUUUUUCGCCUUCCUCUGGGGGCAUCGAGCAGGGACCAGCCCUUUGGGCCAUUUAGAAACUGACAAUAAAAUCCAUUA